GUGGAUUAGGCUUUGGCUU
This 19-nucleotide microRNA is filed under the name Equus caballus (horse). RNAcentral describes it as "eca-miR-1261". Lineage: Eukaryota; Metazoa; Chordata; Mammalia; Perissodactyla; Equidae. The record is from miRBase by way of RNAcentral.